GCAAGUCGUACGCACUGGCCCAACUGAUUGAUGGUGCUUGCACCUGAUUGACGAUGGAUUACCAGUGAGUGGCGGACGGGUGAGUAACACGUAGGUAACCUGCCCCGGAGCGGGGGAUAACAUUUGGAAACAGAUGCUAAUACCGCAUAACAACAAAAGCCACAUGGCUUUUGUUUGAAAGAUGGCUUUGGCUAUCACUCUGGGAUGGACCUGCGGUGCAUUAGCUAGUUGGUAAGGUAACGGCUUACCAAGGCGAUGAUGCAUAGCCGAGUUGAGAGACUGAUCGGCCACAAUGGAACUGAGACACGGUCCAUACUCCUACGGGAGGCAGCAGUAGGGAAUCUUCCACAAUGGGCGCAAGCCUGAUGGAGCAACACCGCGUGAGUGAAGAAGGGUUUCGGCUCGUAAAGCUCUGUUGUUGGAGAAGAACGUGCGUGAGAGUAACUGUUCACGCAGUGACGGUAUCCAACCAGAAAGUCACGGCUAACUACGUGCCAGCAGCCGCGGUAAUACGUAGGUGGCAAGCGUUAUCCGGAUUUAUUGGGCGUAAAGCGAGCGCAGGCGGUUGCUUAGGUCUGAUGUGAAAGCCUUCGGCUUAACCGAAGAAGUGCAUCGGAAACCGGGCGACUUGAGUGCAGAAGAGGACAGUGGAACUCCAUGUGUAGCGGUGGAAUGCGUAGAUAUAUGGAAGAACACCAGUGGCGAAGGCGGCUGUCUGGUCUGCAACUGACGCUGAGGCUCGAAAGCAUGGGUAGCGAACAGGAUUAGAUACCCUGGUAGUCCAUGCCGUAAACGAUGAGUGCUAGGUGUUGGAGGGUUUCCGCCCUUCAGUGCCGGAGCUAACGCAUUAAGCACUCCGCCUGGGGAGUACGACCGCAAGGUUGAAACUCAAAGGAAUUGACGGGGGCCCGCACAAGCGGUGGAGCAUGUGGUUUAAUUCGAAGCUACGCGAAGAACCUUACCAGGUCUUGACAUCUUGCGCUAACCUUAGAGAUAAGGCGUUCCCUUCGGGGACGCAAUGACAGGUGGUGCAUGGUCGUCGUCAGCUCGUGUCGUGAGAUGUUGGGUUAAGUCCCGCAACGAGCGCAACCCUUGUUACUAGUUGCCAGCAUUAAGUUGGGCACUCUAGUGAGACUGCCGGUGACAAACCGGAGGAAGGUGGGGACGACGUCAGAUCAUCAUGCCCCUUAUGACCUGGGCUACACACGUGCUACAAUGGACGGUACAACGAGUCGCAAGCUCGCGAGAGUAAGCUAAUCUCUUAAAGCCGUUCUCAGUUCGGACUGUAGGCUGCAACUCGCCUACACGAAGUCGGAAUCGCUAGUAAUCGCGGAUCAGCAUGCCGCGGUGAAUACGUUCCCGGGCCUUGUACACACCGCCCGUCACACCAUGGGAGUUUGUAACGCCCAAAG
Molecule: ribosomal RNA, 1412 nt
Filed under: Limosilactobacillus reuteri
Lineage: Bacteria; Bacillati; Bacillota; Bacilli; Lactobacillales; Lactobacillaceae
Description: bacterial SSU rRNA
Rfam family: Bacterial small subunit ribosomal RNA
Source: RNAcentral